AGAGUUUGAUCAUGGCUCAGGAUGAACGCUAGCGGCAGGCUUAAUACAUGCAAGUCGAGGGGCAGCAGGUCCCGCAGCAAUGUGGGAUGCUGGCGACCGGCAAACGGGUGCGGAACACGUACACAACCUUCCUUUAAGUGGGGGAUAGCCCGGGGAAACCCGGAUUAAUACCCCGUAAUAUAAUGAAGUGGCAUCACUUUAUUACUAUAGCAGCAAUGCGCUUUGAGAUGGGUGUGCGACUGAUUAGGCAGUUGGCGGGGUAACGGCCCACCAAACCUACGAUCAGUAACUGGUGUGAGAGCACGACCAGUCACACGGGCACUGAGACACGGGCCCGACUCCUACGGGAGGCAGCAGUAAGGAAUAUUGGUCAAUGGACGCAAGUCUGAACCAGCCAUGCCGCGUGGAGGAUGAAGGUCCUCUGGAUUGUAAACUUCUUUUAUCUGGGAAGAAAUCCACGAAUUCUUUUGUGGUUGACGGUACCAGAUGAAUAAGCACCGGCUAACUCCGUGCCAGCAGCCGCGGUAAUACGGAGGGUGCAAGCGUUAUCCGGAUUCACUGGGUUUAAAGGGUGCGUAGGUGGGUUGGUAAGUCAGUGGUGAAAUCUCCAGGCUUAACUUGGAAACUGCCAUUGAUACUAUCAAUCUUGAAUACCGUGGAGGUCAGCGGAAUAUGUCAUGUAGCGGUGAAAUGCUUAGAUAUGACAUAGAACACCAAUUGCGAAGGCAGCUGGCUACACGAAUAUUGACACUGAUGCACGAAAGCGUGGGGAUCAAACAGGAUUAGAUACCCUAGUAGUCC
This 801-nucleotide ribosomal RNA is filed under the name uncultured bacterium. RNAcentral describes it as "bacterial SSU rRNA". It matches the Rfam family "Bacterial small subunit ribosomal RNA", at positions 8 to 796 of the family's 1533-position model. The record is from RNAcentral.